RNAcentral lists this ribosomal RNA (235 nucleotides) under uncultured bacterium. RNAcentral describes it as "partial 16S ribosomal RNA". It matches the Rfam family "Bacterial small subunit ribosomal RNA", at positions 118 to 347 of the family's 1533-position model. The record is from RNAcentral.
UGAGCAAUCUGCCCUUCUCAUCGGAAUAAGCGUUGGAAACGACGUCUAAUGCCGAAUACGACCUCCUUUCGCAUGAUCGGAGGUGGAAAGCUCCGGCGGAGAAGGAUGAGCUCGCGGCCUAUCAGCUAGUUGGUGUGGGUAAUGGCCCACCAAGGCGACGACGGGUAGCCGGCCUGAGGAGGGCGACCGACCACACUGGGACUGAGAUACGGCCCAGACCUCCGUACGGGAGCAG